UUGUCUGCUUGCUUCUAGUAGCGGGUGUAUUUUAAUGAUUGAUAAUCACUCUCCAGGGGUAUUAAGUGGAACUCACACAGAGCGAUUUUCCUCUGGAGCACGGCCUACUCGCACAAACCAUCUCAGACCAAAUGUAUACAGGACACGUAUUUAGCAUUCAAAUAUUCAUUCACAUUAUUUAAACCUGAUAACUACAUUUUGAAUGGGAUUGGAUGCAUAUUCCUGUAGCUCCUACGUGUCACAGAAAAGUAAAAGUACACAUUAAAGGCACUCUACCUCUUUGAAACACCCCUUAAACAUGAUUAUUGUAAUAAAUAUGGCGAUGACAAAAGCUUCCUGUCCGUUUGGAUAUCAGCUUCUGACCUUGUGACUCGACAACCUGCUCGUCUGCCUCUUCUCAUCCCGACUCACCGUAUCCUCCCUUUCUGUUUCCCUCUUUGUGAAUGUGGCUUCGGGGGCAACAUGGUUAGUAUAUUGCUUUGCAGAUGCACCCUGGCUUUGCCUCAUGGCUUCUAAUUGAAGCUUGUCCGGCAUCAAAUGAUGAUGUGGAAAUGUGGUUUAUUCUCAGAUGAAGAGGAAGAAAAAAAACAGUCGAGUCUUGCUUCCUCCUGGGCUGCAGCUCGUUUAUAAGCAAAGGGAGGAAUUAAACUGAGCCUAAAUACGUCCUCAGAUAUUUUGUUAGCUUGGGGUGUGCUUGAUUUAUCGGGCAGGCCAGAUUUUCCAAGGUAAUUGCAAACAGGGUUGCAUUUUAUUAAUGAUCCAUUAACAUGAAUCGUACUUCCCAGCUCAUCAGUUACCCAGUUGGACCUGUUGUUGGAACUUAUCUCCUCUCACAUGUUAACGGUACCUGCAGCUGGAACCGUUGGCAUGCGACUGCAUGUCAAAUGUCUCCGGGGGUAAAUGGAUGUCUUCGAGUCUCCCGUCCUGCCACUUAAUGAGGUGCCUUUCAGCCGGAUUAAUGAGCGUCUAAACUAUAUUUUCCUCAUACAACCAUCAAUGUGCCAAUCAUCAGUAAACAACUAACACAUUUAGUCUCAGCAGAAGCUGGAGGUGAGCAAAGCAGCUCUGCUGGUUCUGAAAUGGACUCUGAGGUCGGUCGAAGUUAACGUUUGCAAAGUUGGAAGGUCAAAACUGUGGCGAUUCAAAGAUGUGCGUAGGACAACAUCUCACUUGGAGUUCUGUUCCAGAUUCUCCUGACCGACUCGGUUCCCUCUCGUACCUCGCCGGACAGAAGACCGAUGACGUCCCCAUCCGACUGCAUCCAUCAGGGAGCAGCAAACAACUCUUAUCCGACAUCGUACCUCAUGGAGGUUUGAAAGCCUUUGACUUCUGGGUCCGUGUUCUGUGGAUUAAUGUGAUUAUAGAUACUAAAGCUGCAGGAUAACGAGACCAUUUAAACAUAUUUUCUAAUCAGCUCCUUAGUGUACAGAUAGGAUGGAGUCGUGCUGAUGUACCAGAUGGCUAAUGGAGGUAUAUUAGAGCUCUGACAUAUUGACAUUAAUAUUGGCACGAAAACCUACCACUUAAAAGUGAUCAGAAUAAUCAGAUCAUACUCAUUUUCAAUUUAUUUUUGUUGAAGCUGAUCUUAAAUGAUUCAAUCUAAUUCUAUCCAAUUCAGAAAAGUCCCAUAAUGUGAUAAUAUCUCUGUAAUGCCCUCGUUACUGACUAACCUACAGAACAAACACCAUCUUCCUGACUUCCCGUGGGCGGUACCAGGGUGUCCUCACCGUCAUGGCGAUCCCGUCUUCACUGCGAUAAACACACACACACACACACAUACAUGGAUCCUGGACUACCUGCUCAAGCAAAAUCGUCAAAUUGUGCUUUGAGAGGUACAGGCCUCUCAUUUACUAUAACUAUUAUUAUUUGACCUGCAUUUGAGUAGACAUUUAUACAGUUUGUGACAGUACAGUAAGGAAAAUAUUGAAUCUUGUUGACUAAUGUCAGUGAAAGUCUGGAAGUGUUGGUGGUUCGGUUCAAUUCGUUUUAUUUUGUAUAGCACAAAAUCGAAAAUUACGAAUUUGCCUCAGAGGGCUUUACAGAAGAAACCCUCACAUCGACACAGGAAGAACUCCCCAGAAAAUGAAAAUGGGGAUAAAAAGGGACUAACUGGUCCGGACUAACCUGGGCCAGGCCUAACUAUAAGCAAAAUCAAAGAGGAAAGUUUAAAGCUUUAUCGUAACAGAGCUGACCGAAUCUGCCUCCCGGACUGAAAGUGGAAGCUGGUUCCACAAAAGAGGAGCUUGAUAACCGAAGACUUGUCAGAAGACCAGUAGCUAAUAGGAGUGUAACGGCGUUUAAAAGGUAUUUGAACCCCAUUCCUAUCAGCCUCAGCUGUACUUUGUGUUUGGUUCUAAAGUAAAAUGGUGAACGUAACACGUCUGUGGUGAACAUGUUAAUGAUUAUACCUGGUAUGCAUCUGCAUAGAACCACCAGUACCACAUCCAUCUGGACCUCUCUCCAUUCCAUACCCAGCUUCCAUCACGACAUGGUCCAUGUAAGGCCAACGCAAAAGCCCCACAUAACUUUACUCCAUCAGUUGGAUACAAUGAGUCCCCCCCCCCCCCUCCUGUACGUUAUCCACGUGAGCCCCGGUGUUCUGGGUUCUCUUAUUUCCACUCUGGUUGGUUCUUGUUGAGUGCCGCUAGUGGUCACGUUCGCCAUUGUCCCGUCGUUAAGACGAAGCCGAUUGGAUGAAUUGUGUGUCACAAUUGUAUCUUUAAUCAGCGAUUGGCCAAACCGUUUCAUGGACCCGCCCCCUGUGGUGCAUUUCUCUCUGGCUCAGAGCUGCUGAUGGACGCGCAGAUAUAAUAUUCUACUAAUAUUACUGAAUGGAUUCCAUAUUUGCAUUUGUAUUUAGAAUGAAUAAUUCAUAAUAAUAUUUAUUUUUGUGGCUCAAGGGCAGGCGUGUUACUGGGGGGGGGGGGGGCACAGGGUUUGACUGUAUUUUCAUUGGUCAUGCACCCAUCAGCCCCGUACAUCCUUUUUGAAUUAAAACCGUUGAAUGUGUAUCUCCUGGGGACCAAAUACUUAUUUUGAACAUCUGCAGCUGUGUAGAAUAUGUGAUGCGAGUGCAAAUAUAACUUCAUUAGUUUCUGUGAUAAGGAGACGGAGGUGUUAAUGGAAGACAGAUGACGGUCUCACAUCCUUUGAGACUUUCCUGUUUACUGCCUUCUAUUAUAUUACACCGAAUCAAUUAUCCAAAAGGCAGCCCGCUGUAAUAGGAAGCUGGGUGGGCCUUUUUAAACCGACUGGGCCGGCUGCUGAUAUCCAGACACCCACGCCGGGCAUUGAAAUCCUGUAAUUGAGACAUGCAACAUUGUGAUUGCAAACUGAUUGAAUAUAAUUAGCCAUGGCUUUUACUUUGUUUGCUUGCUUUCCUUAAUUAAAAGAAUUUUCUUUGCACUUCGUCAGAGUAGAUUGUGUGGGGAUGUUUUUUUUUGGGGGGGGUCAUUAGCCCGGUUAAGCUCACUGAGAUAAUUAAUCCUACAACUGUAUGAAAGUGUGCUUUGAUUGCAAAGUGGCCGGUCCGUUACGCCGCCUCGGUGACAACGCUGUGAAUGACUCCGCGUCAUCCAGCUUCCAUCCACCACUAACUAGAACAAGGCACAGGUGAGCUAGAUGCACUUCUGCCGUUGUUCUUCGCUCGCUGACGUCCUCCAUAAGCCGCAGUGACACCAGCUCCCCCCCCGGGGUUCAUGCUCCUCGCUGCAGAGCGCCUUCAGCCAGAAGCACAGCGCUGCUCCCCUCGUGACGCGUCUGCACAGGCUGCUGUGGAUUCGAAGUCCCUUCCCCUCUGCGGGUGUGAGGCCUCGUCCCUUGCCGAGCGGAGCCCGCUCCAUCCCCGACGAAGGCUCCGCUUUUAUCACCUGAUGGCGCCAGAGCCAAAUGAGGGGGUUCGGCCGUGUUCAGCCAUUUAUCAUCAUGCCAUCAGCGAGCAGCCACGGGGGCAGAAAGGACCUUGGCUGGCUUCGUCCUCCUUCCCCCCCCCGCGCAAUUUCUUCUUAAAGUCGAGCGGGUCUGGAGUCGCUGUGGUCUGCUGCGUUCACUGAAAACAAACAUGCACGCGGCGGCUUUGUUUGGCGCGGCAGAAACCAGCUCCGCCGCGUUCAAACACUCGCUUCAGGGUGGAAUAGAUGAUGAUGAUGAUGAUGAAUGUGGCAAAUCUGGUCAGAGGAGCGUUAAAUGGGCUGCUUAUUUAUUCUCCGCUGCAGACGUCCGUUCCAUUUGCCAGCUGCAGCGCGCAAGGCGCUCAGCUGAGAAGCGUCUGUGACUUCUAAUGAACUGAGACCUCUUGUAUACAGUUAUUACCGAGUGUCAUUCUACAAGCGACAGAAGACCCCUUGAGUGGAGCUAGUUGAAUAAAUGCAUAAACCCGCAGGGACCCAGCAGCUCGGCGCUGAAUGUGUGCACCAAAGCACCGAGAGGCUGAUAUGUUCAGCUUGAACAAAGCGAGCGUGGGAAGGAAACUCAAAAUGAUUUGCUUCAAAUUUGACUAAAAAUAGGGGUUGUGUACCGACCUCUGUGUUUGUGUUAACAAGCGGUUUGGCGUCGCUCUGCACGGCCGCCCGACCCCCCCCCACCACCCCCUCCCGGGGUAGCGGCUACUCUCUAACCAUGUGUUUGCUGCUGUCCUGCUGGCCCACGACUCCAUGGUCCAGGAGCUAGUUUCAUUCCACGUGGCAGGCCAGCGAUUAGCCGCGUCCGUCAGGAUUCCUGAUGCUGUAAUGUAAAACAUUACAGCCAUGCUAGCUGAACGGGGGAUUUGAUGCAAUAUACGAGAUUCAUGACACUCACAAGAGGUUUGCACACGCAGUCUGGAGCGAAGGUUCUUCUUAUACAAUAACCGCCAGCAGGUGAAGAUGUAUGAGAUGUUCCCUGUAGUCUCUGUCAUUACCGCUGCUGCUCUUAAAAUAGGAUUUGAAUUGUUUACUAUGGUGAGCGCCAUUAGCAGCAGCUUUACUUGAGUUGGCCUUGUUGCUUUUGUCCUGUCUGCAGAGUAGGAGAUGAAUUAUUAUUUAAGUAAUUGGUGUUUGUGUAAGAAAAUCUGAGGCAAAGUUCACGAGAAACACGUGUUCAUGUGCAUUUGUGAAUUCCGUUUUCCAACUGGGAAAUGCUUCUGAAACUUUUGAAUUUUCAUUCCUAAUCAUGUUUUGUUGCCGUUUUCUUUAUCUUCAUCCACCAAGCCUUCAUACUUGCCCUUUCACAAUCAUAAUAACAAAAAGCAGAGUUGUUCUCGCUCCUUUUCUAGUGCUGAACUUUCCUCUACCGGUCUCUGUGGGAGAAGAGUGAUGCAAGAGCCUGAUAUCAACAUCUGGGCCUCUGUGAAGACUCUGCUGCCAGAUAAGAUGCUCUCCGGUGUCCAGAGGAGGGCUGAACUCCGGGGGGGGGGCAAGAUACGCUGCACAGACCGAUAAAGAGCGUGGAUCAAUGGCCGUGUCUCAAUUGGCCGGCUGCAUCCUCAGGAGGACGUGGGCCGGCUCGUCCUCUGACGGCAUACGAUGUGUCCUGCCGGCGUCAUCGGCAAUGCAGAAAAUGCAGAUAGAGAAGGUCGUUUUCUUCUUAUUCCAUUUCCCUCAGUAAGAUGUGCUUCACCUCCAGAGCAAGAUGUAUUCCGAGGUCAUUUCAUAUUUGGAUCGGUUAAGCAAUUAACUUUUAGCUAAUAGUAAUAUUGCAGUCUUGAGGGAGAGGAAAUCAAUCCGUCAAUAAAAACACAGCAGCAAACACAUUCAUUAACUUGUAUGCAGAGACUUUUUUUCUUUUCUUGCACAGGAUAGAAGCUGAAUGUCACCACAUCUUCUCCUGCUCCAUAAACACAACUAAAUGUAAAGGUAGUUUACAAUCACACAACAAAAGGAGCGAAGCAACCAGGUUCAGUUUCUUUGUGUAUUUAUUGCCAACAUUUGUAUAAAUACCGACAUAGAAGGUUAUAUUUCAGCUUCGUGUCUUGUCUACUUGAGCUCACUUUGAUCCAUUUCUGUUGUAUCUCAUGUAUAAUUAAUUGAUGAUCAUGAGUAUGAGGAGGGAAUUGGGACCCAGGGGGCUUCAGGUCAGGGGCUGUAUGACAAAAUACCCAUCAAAUAAAUGUAUUACAAUAAAAUACAAAAUACUGUUGCCAGAAAAUGUAAAAAAUAAAAAUACAAUACAGAAUUUUUCUAUUUAAAAUAUUAGGAAAUUCUUUUUUUCUGAUUUUCCGAUUCAGGUUUGGGGGGCAAUGGAAUGUACACAAAGCUGAACAACUCGUGAACUGUUUUUUUUAUUCUAGCAUUUUAAAUACUGUGUUAAGGAAAUGAGACUCAUAUUGCUUUGCAGCAAACAACACCACCACUUGGUAACGCAGGUUGAACGUUUUGUUGCCACUAUAAAUGAAUGAAGCACCUCAGGCUCUUUGUGUGCUGGCAGCCGGAUGUGCUCGUACCUGUUGGUUCACGCGUUGACGGUUCAGCGAUAAAGGGUUUCACUCUUAAGGGGGAAACAAUCCAAUAGAAUGCUGCUGUUAUUCACACUAACUGCUGGUGAAAUAACGCCCUGUGUUUCACCGUCUGGGCCUUGCUGGUUCUCGUCUCCUGCAGGAGGCGUGCUGCGACACAGGCCUACUUGCCACAUUUUGCAGCGUCUCAUCAAUAAGGUCACAGAGCGGCACCGCAGACGCCGACUGAGGUCUCCGUCCUGGAGAGACGAGCUAAUCGCGGCCUCUGUGGGGAACAGCGGGGGAGGGGGGAGCGGUCCAUCUUCUAACACUAACAGGCACAUUUACACUCCUGCACGGCCAUGCACGCAGACAGCAGGUACACACCCCUCCACAGGAGCACGGAUAAACACGCCACCAUGUACAGCAGGAACAUAUGUGUCAUCCGCCUCCCCAGCGAUGUCACUCCCGUGUGGCUGCAUCUGGAGACACCAAUGGAGACAGUCUUAGUCAGUGGACGAGAGGGAGCUUCCACUGAAGGGUUGUGCUUAGCAAUAUACUUAUUAUAUAUACACUUUAUUUUUCGGUGAGCUCAGGUUCGUCGCUUGCUUUGCCCCCGAGUGUCUGCUCGAGUCUCUCACCUGCGACAAAAAACGUUACUCCACCUGUGGUUCUGGAGGUGAAUUGCUCUGCAACACCUGCAAGCCUUUUAGAACCAUGAAUUGAAACGAGUGGGUCGUGCGUAAAGACGCAGGCGCAGAAACACGCGGCAGCCUUGGGAGUUAUUAUGGCACGUUUCAUAGGUGGAGCUCAGCGAGAUGGAACCUUUGCCAGAAAGGUGAAAGGGCACAUUGUUGAGCCUCAAGUAAACAUUUGGAUUGGUUAUUUGCAACACACAACGUGGCGUUCUCAGGAUUUCUUGCAAAGGAUUGUUAUAAAUGUAAUUCAUGUCUGGCAGCGUAUCCGGAUGUUGGGCCUGCAGACGGUCCACUUGUGGAAGCGUUGAGACGCCGUUGCAUCAAGUGUUCAAACCUAUAAUUCAGCCUUUUGCUGGGUCGUGCCACACUAAUGGAGACGUCUGUGCUUACCCAGCUUAAGGGAUGCACAUACUUCCUUGUGAAUGAAUACAGAUCUACCCGCUCUACAGGACCAGCACUGCAUCCUCAUUUAUUUUUUUUCCGUCUCAAUCUCCAUUGGUUACCAUCAAAUGUCUUUGGCUGCUCCGACUGUAUCAUUCCUUUUGGUUCCGUGUGAUUUUCACUCCACUCUUCUCAGUGAUGGCUGAACCAUUGAGCCGUGCAGGAUGUUCCUUCGGUGUCUUUGUAUUCUUUUACUACAACCACAUCCCACACACAGCCAUCACGCCGCUGGACCAAAACCAUGUUUAUCCUUCAAGGAAAAUCCAUCGCACAAUUGUCUCAGUUGAGCGGUCGACAAAGCUCGUGUCCCAUGAAAACAUUCAUGUGAGGUCGAUUCCGGUUGAUGUUCAGGAUACACCGUAUUAGUGCGUGUAAAGUAAAUAAGAGGGCUGUAAUGGUACAAAGGCACAAAACAGACAUCCACUUUGUGAUCCAAUCAGCAGUAAAAACACUCCCAACCAUGAAGAGGCUGUUAAAACCAAACUCACAGAAAACAUAGUCUCUAAAAAGAAACCGCAGAAAGGACCGAUCAAUAAUAACGGAGGAGAAGCCACACAAACACACACACUUGAGAGAUUUAUUGGCUUCCUCUCUUCAAGUCACAUCACCGUCGUCAAUAAUCAAAAUGUAAUAUUGCACUGAGAGAGUUUUAUUAAGAGCAGAGGCCAAGGACACUCACACAAUGUUUAGGGAAUGAAACGGAGUCUGCCAUUGACUUAUUUAUGUCUGCCUCGGAUAUGCGGAGUGACUCAAUCUUUGAGCUUAUGAUUCAUGGAACAGAGUAUCGAUGAACUUAACUUGCAACAGCCCAUCUCAUAUUUCCUCAGUGACUCAGGAGGAAAUAACACAAAUUCAUUAGUCUUACCGUGUCUGGCUGGAGAGCCACUCUUAGUCAUUGCAAAUGUUACCUGCUUUCUGUAAUCAAUACUUAAUUACAGCAGCUUCAUCUGGUUUCUGCUGGAUUAUUGGUUGAGGAAAGGGGCUUGUUUGGGAGGCGAGAGCAGCCCAGCGGGCUUAUAGAGACAGGAACCUUUUGCAGUGAUCAGUAACCAUGCAUCAUUACUGUGCGGUCAAUGGUAACAAAGUGUUCUGGAUCACGCUUAACGACAUUAGGGGAGGGAAGGAGGGCGGCAGAUGCUUAGUUUGUUUGCCAGGCUACUUCUGUUUGGCUUCCUUGGUGCUUCAAUGUGCCGGGUGUAAGAAGACGAUUCGUAAUCCUGUCAAAACAUACGCUUCUGUUUACAGCUUGAAAGUUGCUUUUAGAAACUUCUAUUUGAUGGCACCUAAUUUGCUCGUUAAAUUAUUGUAAAAUAAACUGGGUCCACACGGAGGUAUCCGAGUCAUGUGUUACCGGGAUUCAUGUGCAAUUUGAUGUCAUUUCAUGAGGCCUUUCUAAAAUGUACUGCUUGGAUCAAAUACAUUGAGCUACUUGCCCUCACAUUCGAUCUUUAUCGGCUUUUCAAACGGACAUCAUUUAAUUAUUGGACGGAAUGCCAAGACACGUUUUUCAUACAUGCAGGGUUCUCAGACGAGGAGGUCUUCAGAUCUCCAGACCUUCUGUUGGCCCCGGACUUGGCCUCAAGUGCCAACAUCGGAUUGACACUUUUGGUGGUGAGUGUGAAAUAUCUGAAAUGAGUACCGAGUGCUCAUGUUGCCGGGGGGACGGAUCCCUCUGAUCUUAGGCGAUCACCUGCCUCUUCAUCUCGUUCCACCAUGAGGGUGACGUAAUUUGGGUUUUGGGUCCACAGAUACUGAAUUGAUUUCCAUGAAUUACAGAUGUGCGUAACCGCAGUAUGAGAGAUAACCAAUGGGGUAAACCGUGGAAAAUGUCAUGGCUGUGUUUUGUGUGCGUGUGUGUGUGUGUUAGAGGCUCCUAACUGAGCCCCCCCCCCGACUCACUGAUUGCAUUUCACCUCACCCUCAUCAAGCUGCAGUACAUCUGCCCCGCUUCUUCAUCCGCUCCUCGCCGGCUCGUAGAUUCAACCGACCUGGUAGUGACCGUGCUGCUCUGUUGAGAAUUAUUUUAGAGUAACUGUUUUUGUCUUCCCUCCGACCCCGCUACUGCGUGGUGGUCUGCCUUUGGGUCCGCCGCCACAUAUAACAGAAAAGUUCUGAUAACACUGCAUACUUUAAAUAGCCAGUAGAUGUUUUUUGCUAUAAUAUUGCUCUGAAUCAUAUCAUAUGUUUGCACUUUUAAUAAAGGAUUAAUUGUUGAUCCCAAAACACCAAACAUUUUAUGGUUCCAGCGUCGCAAUCUGAUGAAUUGUGUCUUGUCCUGCUCUUAUUUCAUGGUAAACUGAUAUUUGGUGCGUUCAAAGCGUAUUUGAAGAGAUUACUUUGUGCAAGGAAAUUAUGAUUUCCCUGCUUUUAUUCAUCCAGCUCUAUAAAAUAUUAAAAUUCAGCCUCGUUGUGCUUUGUUCAUGCUAAUUUGCAAAGGUUUGCAUGUUAGCAUUUGCAUAGUGAGCUCAUUUAAUUGGGAGAGCUGUUGCGUGGCUCACAGUCCUCUAUGUCCCUAUUUGCUCUGAACAUCGAUCCUACCAAGUGAAAAAUUGCCUUGAGACAUGGAAAAAAGUGUGGCGUGAUUCUUCACUUCAAGACGUGUUAAACCUUGAAUCCUGUUACAUUCUGAUGUAAUAUUUGGAAUUCUUCCAAUAAUAAACUCAAUAUGAGUGUGAAUAACAUCCUCGGUAAAUUUGAACUAAUCACCACUUAAAGACAAGCCGGAGCAGAGAUUAUCCCUCCCAUCAACUACGCCGUCUUCCCCUCGCUUCUCAAGGACGGAGGCAGGUGUUAAGACUCAUUAAGCACAAUGCAGCAAACGAAGGCUCACCAGAAUACAGAGAUAAUGAGUUAAUAAGAUUGCUUUGAAGCAGAUAAACAAGCAGC
Molecule: long non-coding RNA, 10434 nt
Organism: Gasterosteus aculeatus aculeatus (three-spined stickleback)
Lineage: Eukaryota; Metazoa; Chordata; Actinopteri; Perciformes; Gasterosteidae
Source: Ensembl